AAUCAACGCUGGCGGCGUGCCUAACACAUGCAAGUCGAACGCGAAAGCCCUUUCGGGGGUAAGUAGAGUGGCGUCCGGGUGAGUAACACGUAGGUAAUCUGCCUUCGGGUGGGGAAUAACCAGUCGAAAGAUUGGCUAAUACCGCAUAAUGCAGCGGCACCUAAUGGUGAUUAGUUGUUAAAGCGGGGGAUCGUAAGACCUCGCGCCUGAAGAGGAGCCUGCGGCAGAUUAGCUAGNGGUGAGGUAAUGGCUCACCAAGGCUUCGAUCUGUAGCUGGUCUGAGAGGACGGCCAGCCACACUGGCACUGACACACGGGCCAGACUCCUACGGGAGGCAGCAGUGGGGAAUUUUGGGCAAUGGGCGAAAGCCUGACCCAGCAACGCCGCGUGAGGGAGGAAAUCCUUCGGGAUGUAAACCUCACAAGCAAGGGAAGAGAGCUCAGGGCCGAACAAGCUUUGAGUCCGACGGUACCUUGCGUAAGCCACGGCUAACUACGUGCCAGC
RNAcentral lists this ribosomal RNA (504 nucleotides) under uncultured bacterium. Its description in RNAcentral is "bacterial SSU rRNA". It matches the Rfam family "Bacterial small subunit ribosomal RNA", at positions 32 to 512 of the family's 1533-position model. The record is from RNAcentral.